RNAcentral lists this ribosomal RNA (301 nucleotides) under uncultured bacterium. RNAcentral describes it as "partial 16S ribosomal RNA". It matches the Rfam family "Bacterial small subunit ribosomal RNA", at positions 509 to 807 of the family's 1533-position model. The record is from RNAcentral.
CAGCAGCCACGGGAAUACGUAGGGUGCAAGCGUUAAUCGGAAUUACUGGGCGUAAAGCGUGCGUAGGCGGCUUCUUAAGUCGGAUGUGAAAUCCCUGAGCUUAACUUAGGAAUUGCAUUCGAUACUGGGAAGCUAGAGUAUGGGAGAGGAUGGUAGAAUUCCAGGUGUAGCGGUGAAAUGCGUAGAGAUCUGGAGGAAUACCGAUGGCGAAGGCAGCCAUCUGGCCUAAUACUGACGCUGAGGUACGAAAGCAUGGGGAGCAAACAGGAUUAGAUACCCCGGUAGUCCCUGUCUCUUAUAC